UUGCGGAAACGGAUGAUCGCUGGGCUUCAGCCUGGAGGAAAGUCCGGACUCCCUGGAGGAAAGUGCCAGAUAACGUCUGGCGGCGUUGCCGGGACAUCGACACAAUCGUGAUUGUGCUGUAUAUACAUACGUAAAUUAUGUGGUAUACAUGCAUAGUCCGGUGUGUCGAAUAGUGACGGUGAUGUUAGGGAAAGUGCAACAGAAAAUAUACCGCCUUCGGGCAAGGGUGAAAUGGUGAGGUAAGAGCUCACCGCGCAGUUGGCAACAACGGCGGCACGGCAAACCCCACUUGGAGCAAGAUCAAAUAGGAAUAACAUUUAAUGUCCUCCACAUAUGGUUAUUCGGGUAGAUCGCUUGAUGUUUACGGUGACGUAAAUACCAGAUGAAUGAUCAUCGAAAUGCGUUUUUCGCAUUUUACAGAAUCCGGCUUAUAGUUUCCGCAGAAAU
This 447-nucleotide RNase P RNA is filed under the name Holosporaceae bacterium. RNAcentral describes it as "RNase P RNA component class A". It matches the Rfam family "Bacterial RNase P class A". Rfam says of the family: Ribonuclease P (RNase P) is a ubiquitous endoribonuclease, found in archaea, bacteria and eukarya as well as chloroplasts and mitochondria. Its best characterised activity is the generation of mature 5'-ends of tRNAs by cleaving the 5'-leader elements of precursor-tRNAs. Lineage: Bacteria; Pseudomonadati; Pseudomonadota; Alphaproteobacteria; Holosporales; Holosporaceae. The record is from RNAcentral.